GAUGAAGAACGUAGCGAAAUGCGAUACGUAAUGUGAAUUGCAGAAUUCAGUGAAUCAUCGAAUCUUUGAACGCAUAUUGCGCUCUCUGGUAUUCCGGAGAGCAUGCUUGUUUGAGUAUCAGUAAACACCUCAACUUCCAUAUCUUUUUUGAAAUGGGAGUUGGACUUGAGUGAUCCCAACGCUUUUCCUCACCGAAAAGUGGCGGGUUACUUGAAAUGCAGGUGAAGCUGGACUUUUCUCUGAGCUAUAAGCAUAUCUAUUUAGUCUGCCUAAAAAACAGAUUAUUACCUUUGCUGCAGCUAACAUAAAGGAGAUUAGUUCUUGUGCUGACUGAUGCAGGAUUCACAAAGACAGGCUUCGGCCGACUUUGUAAACUCGAUCUCAAAUCAAGUAAGACUACCCGCUGAACUUAAGCAUAUCAAUAAGCGGAGGA
This 433-nucleotide unclassified non-coding RNA is filed under the name soil metagenome. RNAcentral describes it as "partial contains 5.8S ribosomal RNA, internal transcribed spacer 2, and large subunit ribosomal RNA". The stretch from base 1 to 120 matches the Rfam family "5.8S ribosomal RNA", at positions 35 to 154 of the family's 154-position model. The record is from RNAcentral.